RNAcentral lists this long non-coding RNA (216 nucleotides) under Elaeis guineensis (African oil palm). RNAcentral describes it as "long non-coding RNA (EGUI_LNC058318)". The record is from RNAcentral. Lineage: Eukaryota; Viridiplantae; Streptophyta; Magnoliopsida; Arecales; Arecaceae.
AAGGUACAAUAAGAUGGUCAUAUGAUGAAUGAUGAUUCCAAAAUGUAAUAGAUAUCAGACGUGUGGUGUCUCCAAUGUCUAUUUGAAAUAUUGAACUCAUUAUCAUGCACCUUAAUGGGAGACUAUGAACAAGUUAUCAUCAUAACCGUAUCAUUUUAUGAAUCUAAUAAUUUAGAGAAUUUAAUUUUAUUGAUUUGAAAAUAAGAGAAGAAGUUG